GCUUUUCUUGGGACACCAGCAGCUUUUGUAAGAUGCAGGCUUUGGGGAGCCAAUCUGGUGAAACCCGGAAGCUGCGCCUUCGCAGUUCUCAUCUCAUUCAGCUGUCAGACAGCUGGGCAAAUUGUCCUUAAAUAAAACGCUGCUGAGUUCUGCUAGUCACUGAUCAUGGAUACACACUCCAUCUGAUGGAGUGAGGACUACAGGCUCUCUAGUGCUCUCACCUCUUGAAUGCUGGGGAUUUUACAGGCAUGAUGUCAUGUAGCAGAGACAAACCCUAAACGUGCUAUAUAUAACCAAGGACAGCCUUUAAAAUCUGGAUCUUCUUCCUCCUAAAUGCUUAGAAUGUCAGCAUUCUUAAGACAGAGGCAGCAGGCACCACACCAAGUUCAAGACCAAUCUGCUCCUGAGACCAGCCUGAGAUUCAACAAGGUCUUGCCUCAAAACACAAAAACAGGCUGAUGGGUGUGGGGGGAGGGCAGAAAGAUGGCUUAGUGGUUAAAAGUGCAUCCCAUUCUUGUAGAGGACCCAGGACUAGGUGGCAACAAACAUGAGGUAAUUCAUAACCACAUACUCAUGGCAUAUGGGUGUUCAUAAAGGCACACAUAUACACAUCUAAUAAUUAAAUCUUAAAAAUGACAACAAAAACAGCCUGAGGAUAUGGCUCAAAUGGCAAAGGGAUUCUUUCUCAAGCAGAGGACCAGAGUUUGGACUCCCAGCACCGACAUAAAAUACUAGGCACAGGAAUAUAAAACUGUAAUCCCAGCUCUCGAGAAGCAGAGACAGGAAGACCCCUGAAGCUUACAGACAAGUCAGUGUACCAAUUUGUGAGCUCUAGGUUCAAUGAGUCCUUCUCUCAAAAAAACAAGGUAGAGAAGCAACUGAAGAUAAUACCCAACACUAACCUCUGACCUCCACACAUAUAUAUG
Non-coding RNA from Cricetulus griseus (Chinese hamster), 926 nucleotides. Lineage: Eukaryota; Metazoa; Chordata; Mammalia; Rodentia; Cricetidae. The record is from RefSeq and is a predicted model, not a curated record.